RNAcentral lists this ribosomal RNA (3158 nucleotides) under Triticum aestivum (bread wheat). Its description in RNAcentral is "partial small subunit ribosomal RNA". Lineage: Eukaryota; Viridiplantae; Streptophyta; Magnoliopsida; Poales; Poaceae. The record is from RNAcentral.
GGAGGAGGACGAAAUUCCGGGCGGGGGCGAUUGAGGCGGCGAGGUGGGACAACGACAGGGACGACGCGACGAUAUGGAGCAAGGGGUGAACGGAGCGGUGCAAGUGAGGGGGAGGGGGGGCUCACGUCCAGAUCCCGGUGAUGCCCCGCCGUCGAUCAACUCUCCCCCCUCCUUAUCCCCCCACCGGAUUACUAACUCUAAACAUGUUUUUUCUCAAAUAAAACACCAGAAGCUGUAGAUCGGCGUAAGGAAAAAGAAAGGAAAAACACAUAGGGCUGUUUUAGUACUUUCAUUUCAUCAGUUUUUGCCCCUAUGGUAAUUCGUUUACCUAUUUAAUUAGCGAAAUGCCGCCGUCCACCGAGAGUCAGUGGCCAUAAUACGAACGAACUGCCGCCCCAUGGCUUCCUCCUCCUCUUCCUCCCGUACCCUUUCGCCCUCCUCCGCCUGACCCGCCCCGCCCCGUUCUGCUCGAACGCCGUCCACUUCCCUCUCGCCGUCGCCGCCGUUCCCUGCUCAUCCUCGUCCGCGCCCCUCCAAAUCGCCGUCCCUCCUCGCUGCGUCAGCCGGCGCGCCCGGAUUUCCCGGGCACGGGUUCCGAGGUAAUUUCGUUCCUUCUCACCCGUGGCUAGGUAAGCCCCACUGGGCUCUAGGAUUUCUGCGCGCGCCUCUAGAUCCGCCCGCACGCAUUCGGUUGCCGCGGGCGGUUUAUUUUUAGAGCGAGUGGGGCGGGGGGGGAGCAGCUCUCAGCUCGACGCGAACCGGGCAAAUGGUGGGCUGCUCGUUGAACUGGACAGUGAUCUUUGCUGGAAUUCGAGCCAUGUUAACUUGAUUUCACGAGAUUGAUUGCCUAAGGUUUUUCAUUUCAUCCUUGGACCGUGUUUCUGUAAUUCGGGGCCAGGAGGCGCUGCUGUCUCUGUCUGAAUAUGUGUUUAUGCUUUGGGUGAUGCCGUUCAGAGUUGAAACGGAUGUUUGUGUGACGGCAGCGCCGCUAGAGUGGCCUGUGGGUUCAACGAUAUUGAUUUGGGUGAUGCCGUUCAGAGUUGAUUUCUGCAACCGUGGUGUGGGCACUGGACUGCAUCAUACAUGCAGUGCUCUUGGCUGGGCAUUUUUUUUCACAGCGUGCUGGCUUUUAGAUUAGUUACUGAUGAAUUAACAUGAUGUAUGGAUGCAGAUUAUUCGGGUGGGGGAUGUGUCUGGACGAGCGAGUGUAGUUAAUUAGCUAUUAAUGCUGCUGUUUUUGGCUUUUUGCAGUGAGCUGUCGGUACAGGGUAGAACUGCUUAAUGAUACACAUCAGUCUGAUUUUCAGGUUUUAAGUCUGGAAGAUUACCAAGACCCAAGGGUAUUGCCUGAGCAGAGUAAUUGAGUUCUAAAUCUGCCAUCAUGUUUAAUUGAAGAGUUAAUGAAAAAGCAUUGUUGAUCCAUAAGCAAGGGCAUUGUGGUUGGCAUCAUGCCACAUAGAAAUAUGUGUUGGACACAUCAGGGUGAUAAUCUUGAAUCAGAGGAAGGACAAGCUCAGCCUGAAAAUUACAAUAAUGGUGGCACUGGGAGUAAUUUAUCCAAUCAGGGCGUGCAAGUUGCUCUUGGAGUUCCAGGAAAUACUACUAGUGAUGGAGUCCAUGAUUCACGGAGUUACUAUGAGAGCAUUAAUAAUCAGCGCCAGCAUGCUCAGAAUUUAUACCCAUAUGGAGGCGUUGAUCCGAGUUUUGUCUACCCAUCGACUAUGUACAAUCCCGGAGCUAGGGAUGUGAGUAGCAGCAGUAGCAGUUUUGGUGAUGCUACCAGACAAUCCAUGAAAACGAGGAAUGCUGUAACUGAGAGUGGCCAUCAUUUUGAUCAUGGAUUUGCAAGCUCGAGUUCAUCUGCUCAUGUGCCUCAGAAUCCUGCACAAUGGACAUGGUGUGCUUCAUUUGAAUCACAUGGUGCACCAAAUGGCUCUUCUGCUGAUGGACCAAACAGGCCAUCACCAAUGGCUACUCACCCAGCAUUGGUGCGUCAUGGUAACUAUGUAUUUCCAGCUGGUCACAUGGGCCAGGGCAAUACAUGGACUACACACCCUGCAAAUGUUAUUGCUGAUGGAGUCCCACACUGGGCAUACAACAAUGCAGUCCACAAUCCUUCAGGUCAGUUUGCUCAUCCAGGAACAAUGGGCAUGCAAAAUGGUAGUCUUCAAGAUUACCAAGCUGGCCCUUCUGCUACUUUUCAUGGGCCUUUACCUCAUUUCAACCAGAUUCCUAUGCAUAGCAUGCAAACUCCUGCUAUGCUUAAUCAUAUUCAGAUGCAAGGGCCUCAGCGUCAAAGCAAUGUAGUGCAAGGUGCUAACCCUUCUGGAAUGGUGCAAGGUGCAAACCCUUCUGGGAUGGUGCAAGGCACAAACCCUUCUGGAAUGGUGCAAGGUGGAAACCCUUCUGGAAUGGUGCAAGGUGCAAACCCUGCUGGAAUGGUGCAAGAUCAAGUUUACAAUGGGAGUGUAAGACUUCUUCAGCAAGCUGCUAUGGCGACUAUGUCAACAUUUUAUGAUGCAAUACAUCUUAUUGACGAACAAUGGGAUAUGGGGCUAGAUAUAGACAGCAUGACCUAUGAGGACCUUCUAGCAUUGCAAGAACAGAUUGGAGAUGUCCAUACCGGUUUGCCAGAAAGGUACAUCCGUCAAAAUCUGAGGGUACGUCAGUAUGUUGUUCCCAGGGCAGCUCGCGGGUCCGAUCAGUCUGUGGAGAAGGAUGCUUGCAUUAUAUGCCAGGAGGAGUUUGAGGCGAGAGAACUUGUAGGAACCCUCGACUGCGGUCACAAGUACCAUGAGGCGUGCAUCAAGCAGUGGCUGAUGGUGAAGAACUUGUGCCCCAUCUGCAAGGCAACAGCUUUGCCAGCAGAGUGAAGCAGCGGGUGACCGGCGUCAAUAAAUCAUUUGCCGCAGCAGUGACUGAGAUUCAGCUCCGUUUCUUGUAGAUAAGAGAUGUUGGAUGAUUGUGUUAUUUACCUGUAAUUUCCUGUUCGGUUUGUUGUGGACAUAGCCUGCCCCAAAACUGUAUAGCCAGAGAAUGGUUUCAUUUCCUAGACUGCUCUUAGACCCCCAUGGUGCCUGAACUUCUCUCAUCAUGGUUUUCCUAUUGCCCGUUUUAUCUAUUUGUACAUUGUAAUUAGACCUAUAUAUUUCCCUUUG